GAUGAACGCUGGCGGCGUGCCUAAUACAUGCAAGUCGAGCGAACGGACGAGAAGCUUGCUUCUCUGAUGUUAGCGGCGGACGGGUGAGUAACACGUGGAUAACCUACCUAUAAGACUGGGAUAACUUCGGGAAACCGGAGCUAAUACCGGAUAAUAUUUUGAACCGCAUGGUUCAAAAGUAAAAGACGGUCUUGCUGUCACUUAUAGAUGGAUCCGCGCUGCAUUAGCUAGUUGGUAAGGUAACGGCUUACCAAGGCAACGAUGCAUAGCCGACCUGAGAGGGGGGGGGCCCCCACUAGAACUGAGACAGGGUCCGGCCCCCUACGGGAGGAACCAUAGGGAAAUCUCCCGCAAUGGCGGAAGCCCUGCAGGAGCACCCCCGCGUGAGUAAGAAAGGUCUUCGGACCUAAAAACUUUUUUUUGGGGAAAAAACAGUUGUGAAAGAAUCUGUACACACCUGGACGGUCCCUAAUAAAAAGACCACGACUAACUACGUC
This 497-nucleotide ribosomal RNA is filed under the name uncultured bacterium. RNAcentral describes it as "partial 16S ribosomal RNA". It matches the Rfam family "Bacterial small subunit ribosomal RNA", at positions 28 to 507 of the family's 1533-position model. The record is from RNAcentral.